AUGAAUGGUGUUUUGACAAAAGGUGGAAAGAAAUAUUUCAUGACGUUAAUUGACGACUCCACUAGAUACUGUCGUGUGUAUCUUCUGAAAUUUAAGGAUGGGUCUUUGAACUUUUUCAAGAUCUAUAAAGCUGAAGUGGAAAACCAACUUGAUCGAAAAAUCAAGAGGCUUAGGUCCGACCAUGGUGGAGAGUAUUUUUCCAAUGAAUUUGAUGCUUUUUGUACGGAACAUGGUAUAAUCCAUGAGAGAACGCCUCCCUACUCACCUCAGUCAAAUGGGGUGGCCGAAAGAAAGAACCGUACUCUAACUGAUUUGGUUAACGCCAUGUUAGACACAUCGGGUCUCUCCAAGGCAUGGUGGGGGGAGGCGAUAUUGACAGCAUGUCAUGUCCUAAACCAAGUCCACACAAAGAACAAAGGGAUAACUCCAUUCAAGGAAUGGGAGAAUAAAAGGUUAAAGCUCUCUUGUCUACGAACCUGGGGUUGUUUGGCGAAAGUCAAUGUGCCAAUUCCAAAGAAGCGCAAACUUGGACCAAAGACCGUGGAUUGUGUUUUCCUGGGAUAUGCUUUUCAUAGCAUUGGUUAUAGAUUCUUGGUUGUAAAAUCUGAGGUACCUGACAUGCAUAUUGGUACGAUCAUGGAGUCGAAUGAUGCGACUUUCUUUGAAGAUAUCUUUCCCAUGAAGGAUAUGGCUACCUCAUCUAAUCAAAAAAUGCCUAGUUCAUCGAAUCAGGAACCAGUUACAAUUACCGAACCUGCAAUUUCAAUGGAACACUUUGAAAGUCCCGUGGAGGAGAACAAUGAAGUUCCUACUAGGAGCAAGAGACAGAGGACUGCAAAGUCCUUUGGUGAUGAUUUUCUUGUGUAUCUCAUAGAUGACACUCCCAGUUAUAUUUCAAAGGCCUAUGCAUCUGAAGAUGCUGACUACUGGAAGGAAGCGGUUCGUAGCGAGAUGGAUUCCAUCUUGGCGAAUGAAACUUGGGAGAUAACUGGUCGUCCUUAUGGGUGCAAACCUAUAGGAUGCAAAUGGGUAUUCAAGAAGAAGCUUAGGCUUGAUGGUACUAUUGAAAAGUACAAGGCUUGGCUCGUGGCUAAGGGUUAUACCCAAAAGGAAGGUGAAGACUUCUUUGAUACUUACUCACCUGUGGCUCGACUGACCACUAUUCGAGUUCUACUUUCACUAGCUGCCUCGCAUGGGCUUCUCGUUCAUCAAAUGGAUGUUAAGACUGCUUUCCUAAAUGGAGAGUUGGACGAGGAAAUUUAUAUGGAACAACCAGAUGGGUUUGUACUAGAUGGUCAGGAAAGAAAAGUGUGCAAGUUGCUGAAGUCUUUGUAUGGACUCAAGCAAGCACCCAAACAGUGGCAUGAGAAGUUUGAAAGAACUUUAACAGCUGCAGGCUUUGUUGUAAACGAAGCUGACAAAUGUGUGUACUAUCGCCAUGGUGGGGGCGAGGGAGUUAUCCUUUACUUGUAUGUUGACGACAUACUGAUUUUCGGAACAAAUCUGAAUGUUGUUAAGGAGGUCAAGGACUUUCUAUCUUGCUGUUUUGAGAUGAAAGAUUUAGGAGUGGCUGAUGUCAUUCUAAACAUCAAGUUGUUGAGAGACGAUGAUGAUGGGAUCGCAUUGCUUCAAUCUCACUACGUGGAAAAGAUCUUGAGUCGCUUUGGCUAUAGUGACUGCAAGCCCUCUCCAACACCAUAUGAUGCGAGUGUGUUGCUUUGA
This 1722-nucleotide ribosomal RNA is filed under the name Triticum aestivum (bread wheat). Its description in RNAcentral is "partial small subunit ribosomal RNA". Lineage: Eukaryota; Viridiplantae; Streptophyta; Magnoliopsida; Poales; Poaceae. The record is from RNAcentral.